AACGCACAUUGCGCCCACCAGUAUUCUGGUGGGCAUGCCUGUCCGAGCGUCAUUUCAACCCUCAGCUCAGCUGGUGUUGGGGAUUGCUUUCUACGAAUAGCAGCCCUGAAAUGUAUUGGCGGCUUCCGUCCCUCCUCUGUGCAGUAACUACUACCACACUGGACUAAGGAAAGUCUGCCGUUAACACCCCUUUUGGGUUAAUAACCCUAGGACACUCAGGUUGACCUCGGAUCAGGUAGGAAUACCCGCUGAACUUAA
Molecule: unclassified non-coding RNA, 258 nt
Filed under: uncultured fungus
Lineage: Eukaryota; Fungi
Description: partial contains 5.8S ribosomal RNA, internal transcribed spacer 2, and large subunit ribosomal RNA
Rfam family: 5.8S ribosomal RNA (bases 1-52)
Source: RNAcentral